GAAAGGUCAUGGAACCCAUAGGGCACCGCACUGAGGUAUGAAAUGAAGGACGAAUUAAACUCGCUUCGGGCUCAAGCUUAGAUAAAAGAGUUACAAUGAGUCCACUAGUCCAGAAAUGGAAAUUUGAUAGAAAGCUCAAGCUGAGAAAGUCACAAUCCUUUGAAUAAGAUCGGCUCAAGGGGAAAAAAGAAAGAACCUCUUCGACUGGGUCAACCAACCCUACGUUCAGUCUCGUGUCUAUAAGAUCAACCGAUACGCUACAGGUAAGAUGAACCCAGCUAUCACUGGAUUGAAGCCUAGAUGGCAUUGAUCAGAACACUAGGAUAAGAUCGUUGGAACUUUAGAAGUAGAAGGGUCUCCGUUUACAUGAUCAGUCAGAUAAAAGAUAAUGAAUUAAUUUCACUUUUCUAUCCCCAAUCAAUGGUCGAGCUAUUGACAUCCGUUAGUAGCGGCCGUUAAAGGAAAGGAAUUGGUUCGCUUUCGUUUGUGGAAGGCCCAUGCAUGAAUGAAGUGAGGCUCCUCAACAAGCAGAAGCAAGCACUGAGUUCGGAAACUCAAUCAAAAGGCGAAGACCUCAUCCUCUUAUUACCAACCGUGUACAUUCUACAUACGAGAUGCUUCCAUCACGGCCGGGCCCUAGCCUGAAGCCAGAGUCAGAGUUUCCCUAAGUCCCAUGUCUCCUAAACCCGCGCGAAAGAAUAAAAAAUCAGGGGCAGGAAAUGAAAUUGGGAAACCGAAAGGUGAAGGAAAUGAAAUUGUGAAACCGUAAGGUUCAGGAUAUGAAAUUGGGAAACUGAUAGGUGAAUGAAAUGCAAUUGUGAAACCGACGGAGGAAGUGAAGGGGAAGGAGUUUACAAUGAAAGAACAGAGAAGGAGCGCAGCAGUGAGACCAAUAAGUGAAAGAGAAAGAAGAAUACAUAAAUAGGUUCUGGUUACGGUGAAGGUGAGGUAGUUAUUGAUCAUUCAUCCUUCUUCUUCAAGAACUCCUUUUCCUCUCCUCUCCUGUAAAGGAUUGAAUUCAUCUUGUCUUGCUUCAGUCUUUCCUCUCCUGUAAAGGAAGAUCUGAUUCUUCUUCUUUCACUGUUCAGUCUCAUUCAUCUUUCAUUGUUCAAUCACAAUCCAGGAAUAUCGGAAAAGAAGAAUAGAGGUUCAGCAGGAGAAGAUCAAGAAUAAGUAGUCUUUGUUUACAGGUCAGGUAAUAUCUGUUCAGGAAAGAGCUACUUUUACCUUCUUCAAUCAGGUCAAAGCCUCAAAGUCAAAAGCAGGAAUCCGAGAAAACAAGACCCCUACGUCUUUCUUGUAAACUAAUUAUUCGAUCUGUAGAUCCCAGCAAGGCUGCCACAUCACUAAACCACCCAGGGAUGUCUCUUGCAAAGAAGAAUUCGUAGAGAUUUUUCCAGAACCCCAGUCCAGCCUACCCGACUGAUAUAAUCUAGAAUCCACUCUCUGCCUUUACUUAACUUAGUAGUAGGCGAAUAGUGACCUUAUUUGUAUGCGCAUUCACAGGGCACGUUCCAAGAUCUCCCGCAACGAGAACCUAAGACAUGGUUGAUUGAUAGUAAGUUGAAAGAAUAAAUGGAUCGAUCAUAAGUUGGUUGAAUAUUGAGUGUAGCUUAGGCUACGUCUUCUGUUUACGCGCUACGUCGCCGGCACACAGGAUCUUAGACAGGUUUCGUCCCCUUUCGGACCUUCUUACUAGUUAGUACGGUAAAAGCAUGAUGCAAAUAGACCGAAAAAAGAAGAGUUCUUUAUAGAUGAGUUGUAGUCGAUUCGCCCGUUAUGGCUCGUCUCGCGCUUAGUCACUCUCGUCGGAUAGGGGGAAGUCUUUUCUGAAAAAACUCGCUGUUAGUUCUUCAUAUAUAUAUGAUUGAUUUUUGAGAUACUAACUCUUUGGUUGGAUCGGACAGGGAACUUCUAUAAAGAUCUUUCCACUCAUUCAUCAUACUCAAAGUCGAAGUCACGGCCGGGGGCUCGGAAAAAGAACUUGAAUCGGUGUCGUGGUGGUACUACGAGAUGGCGAUUUCUUGUAGUAUAGAAGAAUAGAUCCGCAAACCUAUUGUAUUGAUUGACCAUAGAUGCGACCGCUAUCUAAGAGAAUCUCAGUAGUUCUUCUAUCGUUCAAGGGCAAGGGGAAAGUAGCGGCUUGCCUAGAUCUCGUAUUUCCCACGUAGUCCGUCGGUCAAACCAAGGAUUCUCUGAUCAAAGUAAUAUAGAGAUUCUUUUUUUUUGUUCUGGUAUGUAGGCGAGCUAGGAGCGCAUCAAUCGGGUCAAAAACUCAGAUAGGAUCAUCAUCAUGGCCCUUUUCUUCUUUCUUUUGUUUGUGUCCGGCUUUAUUAGUGAAAAAGAGGUGUGGUGUGUGGGUUUUUUAAGGCUUAUCUGUGGGCUGCUGCUCUGGGGCAUCCAAUUCCUCUUCUUUCUUUCUUUUCCUGAGGA
This is a long non-coding RNA of Cucurbita moschata (crookneck pumpkin), 2433 nucleotides long. RefSeq lists it as uncharacterized. Lineage: Eukaryota; Viridiplantae; Streptophyta; Magnoliopsida; Cucurbitales; Cucurbitaceae. The transcript has 3 exons. The record is from RefSeq and is a predicted model, not a curated record.